UUUGGGGCUUAUAAAAAUUAUUAGAGUUAGUUAGGUGUAAAAUAUAAAUGAGUUAUUGAUAAUAAAAGGUGAAAUUAGGUUGUUAUUAAGUAAAAGAAAUAUAUUGAGGCUGAAGCUAGAAAGAUCUAAAUAAAAACUAGGAUUAGAUACCCUAUUAUUUUAGAAUUAAAUUUAAUAUAACUCUGGGUAAGUAGUAGAUAAAUACUUAAAAAUUAAAAAAUUUGGCGGUGAUUUAAUCUUUUUAGAGGAACUUGUUUUUUAAUCGAUAAACCACGUUUAAUCUUACUUGUUUUAGUAAAUCAGUAUGUAUACCAUCAUUAACAGGUAAUUUUAAAAGGAAAAAUUACUAAAAAUAAUUGAUUAUAUAAAUUAGAUCAUGGUGCAGCUUAUAAACAAGGUAAAAUGAGUUACAAUAAAGUAUUUUAGAUGAAUUAACGAGGGAAUCUUCGUUAUAAAGGUGGAUUUAAUUGUAAAUGUAGAUUAAUAAGCUUAUUUGAUAUUGGUGCUAAAUCAUGUACAUAUCGCCCGUCGCUUUCGCUAACCGAAAUAAGUCGUAACAUA
This 561-nucleotide ribosomal RNA is filed under the name Metopograpsus thukuhar. Its description in RNAcentral is "partial 12S ribosomal RNA". The record is from RNAcentral. Lineage: Eukaryota; Metazoa; Arthropoda; Malacostraca; Decapoda; Grapsidae.